UGGGGAAUAUUGGGCAAUGGGCGAAAGCCUGACCCAGCCACGCCGCGUGAGUGAUGAAGGCCUUCGGGUCGUAAAGCUCUGUGGGGAGGGACGAACAAAUCUGGGGCUAAUCACCCGGGUCCUGACGGUACCUCCUUAGCAAGCACCGGCUAACCCUGUGCCAGCAGCCGCGGUAAUACAGGGGGUGCAAACGUUGCUCGGAAUCAUUGGGCGUAAAGCGCACGUAGGCGGUUCGUUAUGUCGGAUGUGAAAGCCCUUGGCUUAACCGAGGAAGUGCAUCCGAAACUGGCGAGCUAGAGUACGAAAGAGGAUCGCGGAAUUCCCGGUGUAGAGGUGAAAUUCGUAGAUAUCGGGAGGAACACCGGUGGCGAAGGCGGCGAUCUGGGUCGAUACUGACGCUGAGGUGCGAAAGCGUGGGGAGCAAACA
Molecule: ribosomal RNA, 427 nt
Filed under: uncultured Haliangium sp.
Lineage: Bacteria; Pseudomonadati; Myxococcota; Haliangiales; Kofleriaceae
Description: bacterial SSU rRNA
Rfam family: Bacterial small subunit ribosomal RNA
Source: RNAcentral